AAAGAUGGCGGACGCAUUCGGAGAUGAGCUGUUCAGCGUGUUCGAGGGCGACUCGACCACUGCGGCGGGAACCAAAAAAGACAAGGAAAAGGACAAGGGGAAAUGGAAGGGGCCUCCAGGGUCUGCAGACAAGGCAGGGAAACGUUUUGAUGGUAAAUUACAAUCAGAAUCAACUAAUAAUGGAAAAAAUAAGAGAGAUGUAGAUUUCGAAGGUACAGAUGAACCCAUUUUUGGAAAGAAGCCCAGGAUAGAAGAAUCAAUAACUGAAGACUUAAGUUUGGCAGACCUGAUGCCCAGAGUCAAGGUACAAUCAGUUGAAACUGUUGAAGGGUGCACACAUGAGGUUGCGCUUCCUGCAGAUGAGGAUUAUUUACCACUUAAACCACGAGUUGGAAAAGCUGCUAAGGAAUACCCAUUCAUUCUUGAUGCUUUUCAAAGAGAGGCCAUUCAGUGUGUUGACAAUAAUCAGUCUGUUCUAGUAUCUGCACAUACGUCAGCGGGAAAAACAGUAUGCGCCGAAGGCAACACAGGGUCUCAAACUCAAAUAGGCUGGUCUCAAACUCCUGGGCUC
Molecule: small RNA, 571 nt
Filed under: Pongo abelii (Sumatran orangutan)
Lineage: Eukaryota; Metazoa; Chordata; Mammalia; Primates; Hominidae
Description: processed transcript
Source: RNAcentral